Molecule: transfer RNA, 74 nt
Filed under: Chloroflexota bacterium
Lineage: Bacteria; Bacillati; Chloroflexota
Description: Chloroflexi bacterium (soil metagenome) tRNA-Lys
Rfam family: tRNA
About the family: Transfer RNA (tRNA) molecules are approximately 80 nucleotides in length. Their secondary structure includes four short double-helical elements and three loops (D, anti-codon, and T loops).
Source: RNAcentral
GCCCCCUUAGCUCAACGGCAGAGCAGCCGGCUUUUAACCGGUUGAUGCGGGUUCGAUCCCUGCAGGGGGCACCG